This is an RNA transcript of Anopheles merus, 2893 nucleotides long. RefSeq lists it as uncharacterized. The transcript has 5 exons. NCBI's taxonomy places the organism in Eukaryota, Metazoa, Arthropoda, Insecta, Diptera, Culicidae. The record is from RefSeq and is a predicted model, not a curated record.
UUUUCGCACACUACAACAAAAGAACAGAUAAACACUGUAGAAGGCACAAUUCUAUUUAAAGAUAAGAUGUUCAUUACUGGAAGAUAGUCUCGUUGACGCUGUUACCACGAUCGUAUCGCAAUACCGUGUAGAGCUGUGCACACUUAGUUAAUAUUUGAAGUGGGCUACCAGCAUGGCGUACAAUCAAGACGAGCUUGUGGCUCCGGGUUGGUUGAACGACGAGUUCUUCCGUGAUGUGAUGCGCGAAUCAAAUAACGAUCCAACGAUCGAGUUAAUAAAGUCAUGUGUUUUACGUCCGGGCACCAAUAAAGGGGAUCAUUACGCUAGUGUCAUGUUCCGCACGACCGUCACCUAUCGAUCCCAGCGUUCAAGUGAAGAGAAGUCGGUCAACAUCAUCAUGAAAACGAAGCCAGAAGCUGACGGAUUGAAGAAGGAGCUUUUGGAUGACGAUAGAUUGUUUGCGAUAGAAAUGGAAAUGUACAGCAAGGUUCUUCCGGAGAUGACAAGAAUGUUAAAAGAGAUAGGAGAAGAGUACAAAUAUCCUCGAUACAUUUACGGUGCGUUGAAGCCCCGCACGAUCCUGAUUUUGGAAGAUAUUAGUGACCAGGGAUGGGUGAUGGGCGAUUUCAUCAGCACGUUGGACGAUAUGAAGCCAAUAGUAAAGGAUAUUGCUAUGUUUCACGCUGCGUCCGUGAUGUUGGAAAGCGCUGAUUCUACAUUUGUGGCCAGGCAUAAUUACUCAAUCGCAGAGAAAUUUAUGGGCUUCAAAGGCAUGAUCACGAAGGGCUUUGGGGAUCUGAUGCACCUCACACAGACGUGUUCAGAGUUUGCACAUUUUGCAAGGCCGUUAGGUCGUUUCCAGGAAAACUUGCAUAAAUUCUUCACUUCAUUAUAUAUCCCUUCGAAAACAAUCCAAAACGUGUUGAUACAUGGAGAUUUUCAUGGUAAAAAUAUGCUCCAUCAAGUCGAUGCUGAAGGACGACACACCGAUACGAUACUGCUUGAUUAUCAGAUCUGUUGCUGGACCAGUCCGGCGGUUGAUUUGUACUAUCUACUGGAUAUGAUACCGACUCAAGAGGUGAAGGACAAACAUCGGUCUGAGUUGAUAUAUAUGUAUUAUCAAAACUACAGUGAUUUACUGAAGCGGCUAGGAUAUAUGGGUAAAAUACCGUCCUUGCUGGAUUUGCAGAUAGAGCUUCUACGAUAUGCUGGACUAGAGAUAUUCCACUACGCAAUGUUCAGUUCGUUUCGGUACAUGGAUCAAACAGCGAUCGAUAUAGAGGCAUACUUGAAGGGAGAGCUUGAAAAUCCUGCUUUCAACAAUCCAGAGUUCAAGAAGCUUAUUCAUAACGAGCUAACGCGCUUCCUACAUCAAGGAACAUUAUCGUGAAUGGAUGAUAAUCAAGGUAAACCUCUUCAGAUGCAACAAUUAGUGUUGGGUCGUGAAUAAAAAAGCUACUUCAUAUGUGAUUUGAUUUGAAGUACUAGUGUGCGAAGAGUGCUGCUAAUUACUUUCAUAAUUUACAGUAAAGACCACCAUUGUCACAAUAGGGCCGUUCAAAUGAAUCUUACCCUUUGGGCUAUAUACUUAGGGCUAUUAAUGUAUAUUCGUAAUCUUGUGUUCGUAUAUUGUGCGAUAGAAUAGAAUAUGACAAAAUAUACACUUUUAUAAUCUGAAGAUUAGUAUUGAACUCAAAAUAGAGCAGGGAAAAUUAUCUGCUGUACAAAAAAUCAAUGGUAGAAAUCAAGUCCAGAAAUCAUAAUAAAAUGUCUUAUUGCAUUAAGCUUCUGUAGGCAUGUAGGGUCUUGAGACACUUGAAGACUGUCGUUCCAUGACUCGGGCCUCCUUCAUUGCCUCACUUAUGCUGGGUAUCACUGAUGUUUCGGCUUUGCUCUCCUCUAUCCCUCUUUAUGUUCCCUCCAGCUCCUUCAUAUGCGUCGCCCUUUAAAUAUUCCUACUCAUCUUUCUGCUAUUGGUCGUAGGGACGCGCUACUACGUUCAAUGAGUGUCUUUAAUGAUUCUUCCCACCACUUCUUUCACUGUUUUGUACUUAUCCGCUCUUUAAAUUUUACAAUGUUCUAUAAGUUCUAAUGGCUCAUUACUUUUGUUAAGAUAAUAAAAUUAGAUCUAGGUUCGUAGACUAGUACAUAAGAAUAUGUUAUACAAAGCCAUACUGGCAAACAUUGAAAUACAACGAAAUAUGACACAUGAAACAUGGUACUAUUGUUAAACAACACGUUGAAUUUUUUUGGAUAAAAGCUUUUUAUGAGGGAAAAGAUUUAUACAACAAAUUAGUUAAUUAGUGGUAGCGAUUGAAACUAACGUUUUUCGACUAAACGGCCAACGCAGGCGCAUCCUGCCCUUUUAUUUCCUAGCUUAUCGUUUCUCUGAUUCUUCCCUCUCGCUCUUGUACCUCGUGCACCAGAUAGGUUGUUGGGCACUCACAAAUUUUCAACAAUUAUAUUUCUACAGCACUCAACCGUGAAGAUAAUUGAUUCAACACGACUUGAAACAAUGGUGAAUGGUAUUUUGAAAAUUGUUUAUGCUUUACGCUGACUCACGAACGAUGUAUAGCAGUAGAGUAAGGUUCGAGUGAUUUGUUGCAUUCACUCACCAACACGAGCGCAGCAGUGUAGAUAAAAUCGUGUGAUGGUUGCUUUUCUAUUUAAAGAUGUGAAGUUUGUUACAGCAAGACAGUUUGGUUGACGCUGUUAAAGUAAACAUAUAUCAACAUCACGUUAACUUUUGUAAACUUGCGAAUAUUUAAAGUGUGUUACCAGUAUGAUGUACAAUCAAGAUGAGCUUGAGGCUCCGGAUACAUCUACGGUGCUUUGAAGCCCCACACCAUCCUGAUUUUGGAAGAUAUUAGUGACCAGGGAUGGGUGAUGGGUG